Molecule: ribosomal RNA, 253 nt
Filed under: uncultured bacterium
Lineage: Bacteria
Description: partial 16S ribosomal RNA
Rfam family: Bacterial small subunit ribosomal RNA
Source: RNAcentral
UACGUAGGGGGCCAGCGUUGUUCGGAAUUACUGGGUGUAAAGGGUUCGUAGGCGGUGUGGCAAGUUGGGAGUGAAAUCUCUGGGCUCAACCCAGAGGCUGCUUCCAAAACUGCUGUGCUUGAGUGUGAGAGAGGCUCGUGGAAUUGCAGGUGUAGCGGUGAAAUGCGUAGAUAUCUGCAGGAACACCCGUGGCGAAAGCGGCGAGCUGGAUCACUACUGACGCUGAGGAGCGAAAGCUAGGGGAGCAAACAGG